AUGGAAUUCGUUAUGCUCCUGGCCGCUCUCUUUUGCCUCCUAGCCGGAGUGGUCUUUCUGCGGAGCUACACCAGGAGAUCCCAGGCCACCACCCACCACAUCGGGGACCCCGAUGUUGCUCAUCGAGCGCUCAUUGGGAACGCCGACGACUUCUUAAACCGGCCGGCAGCAAGCUUCCCCACCUCCCUGGCCACCUGGCGCCAUGGCGAACGGAACGACAACAUAGCCACUGUGACCUACGGCCCGCAGUGGCGAGUGCUCCGGUGCAACCUCACGGCUGAGAUCCUCUCACGCCUCGGUUCCUUAGCCCCGCUUCAUGAGGAGGCCGCCCAGGCACUCGUCGCAGACUUCUCGGCCCGAUGCGGCGGAGGAGGUGACGUGGCCGUCCGUGAGCCCGUCACCAAAGCCGUGUUCACGCUGGCCACGCGCCUGUGCUUCGGCGACAUUGUGGACGACGGCCAGAGACACGCCAUAGGACGCGUGAUACGGGACUCCAUCGUCGCCGCAGGUAAGCUCAGCCCCGGGUUCGAUGGCUCGAUGCUAUCCAAGCUCGCGAACUGGAGGGGGUUUCGCCGGAUCUCCGCCGUGCUCAAACGGCAGACCGAGCUGUACCUCCCUCUGAUCGCGGCACGGAGGCAGUCGCAGUCUCAGCUCUGUGGCGGCAUCGUCCAUCCUUACGUGGACUCGCUCCUGGAUCUCCGUGUCCCCGACAAUGGUGAUGCCUCCGGCCCCGGCCGUCCUCUUCGAGACGGCGAGCUGGUGGGCCUUGUGUUCGAGUUCCUGGGUGCAGCCACGGGGUCAACCGCAGCCUGCCUCGAGUGGACCCUCGCCCAUCUCAUCGACCAGCCGGAGACCCUGGACAGGCUGCGCCGGGAGAUCGACGACGAGGCCGACGCCGGCGGGAUACUCUCCAGCAAGAGCCUUCGCAGCGGCAUGCCCUACCUGAACGCGGUAGUCCUUGAAUGCCUCCGCAUGCACCCGCCGGUGCCGGUCAUCUUGCGCAGCGCCCACGGCGACGGCGCCAAAGCGAUCGGUGGAAUGAGAGCUGUGCCGCUGGACGGCUUGAGCGUGCAGUUCAAUUUAGCCGACAUUGGAAGAGAUGCGAAGCGGUGGACCCAUCCUGACAAGUUCUGGCCGGAGCGGUUCCUUGCCGGAGGCGAGGCGGAAGACAUCGGGCCGGCGCCGGGCCCCAAGGAGAUCAGGAUGAUGCCGUUCGGUGCGGGACAUCGGCACUGCCCUGGCGUGAACAUGGGAAUGUUGCACAUCAAGUGCUUCUUAGCGGCGCUCGUGCACAACUUCGACUGGGCACUGUCCGCCGAAGACUGCAGCAGCGGUGUCGACAUGACGGAGCAGGACGGCUUCAUAAAAAUAAUGAAGAAGCCGCUCUCCGCGCGUGUCACUGGACGCACUUGA
This 1413-nucleotide ribosomal RNA is filed under the name Triticum aestivum (bread wheat). RNAcentral's name for it is "partial small subunit ribosomal RNA". The record is from RNAcentral. Lineage: Eukaryota; Viridiplantae; Streptophyta; Magnoliopsida; Poales; Poaceae.